UACGUAGGGUGCGAGCGUUGUCCGGAAUUAUUGGGCGUAAAGAGCUUGUAGGCGGUUCGUCGCGUCUGCUGUGAAAAUCCGGGGCUCAACCCCGGACUUGCAGUGGGUACGGGCAGACUAGAGUGUGGUAGGGGAGACUGGAAUUCCUGGUGUAGCGGUGAAAUGCGCAGAUAUCAGGAGGAACACCGAUGGCGAAGGCAGGUCUCUGGGCCACUACUGACGCUGAGAAGCGAAAGCGUGGGGAGCGAACAGG
RNAcentral lists this ribosomal RNA (253 nucleotides) under uncultured bacterium. RNAcentral describes it as "partial 16S ribosomal RNA". It matches the Rfam family "Bacterial small subunit ribosomal RNA", at positions 524 to 776 of the family's 1533-position model. The record is from RNAcentral.